AUUGAACGCUGGCGGCAUGCUUUACACAUGCAAGUCGAGCGGCAGCGCGGGGGCAACCCUGGCGGCGAGCGGCGAACGGGUGAGUAAUACAUCGGAACGUACCCAGGAGUGGGGGAUAGCCCGGCGAAAGCCGGAUUAAUACCGCAUACGAUCUUAGGAUGGAAAGUGGGGACCGCAAGGCCUCACGCUUUUGGAGCGGCCGAUGUCCGAUUAGCUAGUUGGUGGGGUAAAGGCCUACCAAGGCGACGAUCGGUAGCUGGUCUGAGAGGAUGAUCAGCCACACUGGGACUGAGACACGGCCCAGACUCCUACGGGAGGCAGCAGUGGGGAAUCUUGGACAAUGGGGGAACCCUGAUCCAGCCAUGCCGCGU
RNAcentral lists this ribosomal RNA (371 nucleotides) under uncultured bacterium. Its description in RNAcentral is "bacterial SSU rRNA". It matches the Rfam family "Bacterial small subunit ribosomal RNA", at positions 29 to 402 of the family's 1533-position model. The record is from RNAcentral.